AUUGAACGCUGGCGGCAUGCCUAACACAUGCAAGUCGAACGGCAGCAUGGUCUCGCUUGCUAGACUGAUGGCGAGUGGCGAACGGGUGAGUAAUGCGCAGGAACACGCCUCAAAGAGCGGGACAACUUAGGGAAACUUAAGCUAAUACCGCAUCAGCUCUGAGGAGGGAAGCUGGGGAGCUUCGGGCCUGGCGCUUUGAGAAGAGCCUGCGGCUGAUUAGCUAGUUGGUAGGGUAAGAGCCUAACAAGGCGACGAUCGGUAGCUGGUCUGAGAGGAUGAACAGCCACACUGGAACUGAGACACUGUCCAGACGCCCACGGGAGGCAGCAGUGGGGAAUAUUGGACAAUGGGGGGAACCCUGAUCCAGCAAUGCCGCGUGUGUGAAGAAGGCCUGAGGGUUGUAAAGCACUUUCAGUGGGGAGGAGGGUUGAUAGGUUAAGAGCUAAUUGACUGGACGUUACCCACAGAAGAAGCACCGGCUAACUCCGUGCCAGCCGCCGCAGUAA
This 506-nucleotide ribosomal RNA is filed under the name uncultured bacterium. RNAcentral's name for it is "partial 16S ribosomal RNA". It matches the Rfam family "Bacterial small subunit ribosomal RNA", at positions 29 to 523 of the family's 1533-position model. The record is from RNAcentral.